RNAcentral lists this ribosomal RNA (527 nucleotides) under uncultured Glomeromycotina. RNAcentral describes it as "SSU rRNA". It matches the Rfam family "Eukaryotic small subunit ribosomal RNA", at positions 571 to 1098 of the family's 1831-position model. The record is from RNAcentral. Lineage: Eukaryota; Fungi; Glomeromycota.
CAGCCGCGGUAAUUCCAGCUCCAAUAGCGUAUAUUAAAGUUGUUGCAGUUAAAAAGCUCGUAGUUGAACUUCGGGAUCAAUGAGUUGGUCGUGCCCUUGGUAUGAACUGGCUUUAUUGGUUCUCACCUUCUAAUGAACCAUAAUGUCAUUCAUUUGAUGUUUGGGGGAAUUAGGACUGUUACCUUGAAAAAAUUAGAGUGUUUAAAGCAGGCUCACGCUUGAAUACAUUAGCAUGGAAUAAUGAAAUAGGACAUCGCAUUCUAUUUUGUUGGUUUUUAGGAUCGAUGUAAUGAUUAAUAGGGAUAGUUGGGGCAUUAGUAUUCAAUUGUCAGAGGUGAAAUUCUUGGAUUUAUUGAAGACUAACUACUGCGAAAGCAUUUGCCAAGGAUGUUUUUCAUUAAUCAAGAACGAAAAGUUAGGGGAUCGAAGACGAUCAGAUACCGUCGUAGUCUUUAACCCAUAAACUAUGCCGACUAGGGAUCGGAUGAUGUUGAUUUUUUAAUGACUUUCGGCACCUUACGGGAAAC